AACGAACGCUGGCGGCGUGCCUAACACAUGCAAGUCGUGCGAGAAAGUUCCUUCGGGAGCGAGUAAAGCGGCGCACGGGUGAGUAACACGUAGGUAACCUGCCCCCCAGUCUGGAACAACUAGAGGAAACUCUAGCUAAUGCCGGAUGAGACCACGAUCCCUUCGGGGGUUGCGGCCAAAAGAUGGCCUCUACUUGUAAGCUAUCGCUGAGGGAUGGGCCUGCGGGCCAUUAGCUUGUUGGUGAGGUAACGGCUCACCAAGGCUGUGAUGGCUAGCUGGUCUGAGAGGAUGACCAGCCACACUGGGACUGAGACACGGCCCAGACUCUACGGAGCAGCAGUGGGAAUAUUG
RNAcentral lists this ribosomal RNA (351 nucleotides) under uncultured bacterium. Its description in RNAcentral is "bacterial SSU rRNA". It matches the Rfam family "Bacterial small subunit ribosomal RNA", at positions 29 to 366 of the family's 1533-position model. The record is from RNAcentral.